ACCACCCCAUUCCACACAACACACCCCAUUCUGACCACAACAUUAUACCAGAUUGUACAGCGCACGUUUCCAACACAUUCAUUUCCAACACAUUCACAUCACCACUAUUGGACAUGGAGGAAAUUGCAGCAAGAAUGCUCCAAGGCUGGAAAAUGCUC
This 158-nucleotide ribosomal RNA is filed under the name Heterosigma akashiwo. Its description in RNAcentral is "partial Trypanosomatid mitochondrial large subunit ribosomal RNA". The record is from RNAcentral. Lineage: Eukaryota; Raphidophyceae; Chattonellales; Chattonellaceae.